ACUCAAUCAUGUGUAGAGGGGAAUAGCAGGUUAUGCGUCUCCGUUAGAGACUACUACUGUUACAUGUUGCAAACACGGCCUGCGUUCUUCAAUCCCAUACUAUGUGGAGCACGCCUGCUGCAGCAAUGGGAGGUCGACAUGUACAUCAAGAUUGAGAGUUGUCAGUUGAGGUGGUACAGGAAGAACCAAAUGCAAAUUCGUGCCGACUUGUAUAAAGGAGCUGUUGAUGCGACCACAUCGAGGGAGAGGCGAGCAAGCGCUGUUGGGGUAAGAAUAGACUCCCUGGAACAUACCCUGGUGGCGACCGCGACAUGA
RNAcentral lists this ribosomal RNA (315 nucleotides) under Triticum aestivum (bread wheat). RNAcentral's name for it is "partial small subunit ribosomal RNA". The record is from RNAcentral. Lineage: Eukaryota; Viridiplantae; Streptophyta; Magnoliopsida; Poales; Poaceae.